Molecule: ribosomal RNA, 253 nt
Filed under: uncultured bacterium
Lineage: Bacteria
Description: partial 16S ribosomal RNA
Rfam family: Bacterial small subunit ribosomal RNA
Source: RNAcentral
UACGUAGGGCGCGAGCGUUGUCCGGAAUUAUUGGGCGUAAAGAGCUCGUAGGCGGCCUGUUGCGUCCGCUGUGAAAUCCCGGGGCUUAACCCCGGGCGUGCAGUGGAUACGGGCUGGCUGGAGGCAGGCAGGGGAGAACGGAAUUCCCGGUGUAGCGGUGAAAUGCGCAGAUAUCGGGAGGAACACCUGUGGCGAAAGCGGCUCACUGGACCAUUACUGACGCUGAGGCACGAAAGCUAGGGGAGCAAACAGG